Amphimedon queenslandica is the source of this 421-nucleotide long non-coding RNA. RefSeq lists it as uncharacterized. The record is from RefSeq and is a predicted model, not a curated record. Lineage: Eukaryota; Metazoa; Porifera; Demospongiae; Haplosclerida; Niphatidae. The transcript has 4 exons.
GAGACUGUUAGGUUAGACUACUAAUAAUGAAACCGUCAUUGAUACAAUAAUAAUAUCAAAUGGAGACAUUAGCACUCAUGAAUACAGAAGAGAUGUGAUGAGAAGAAGAUAAACAUAUGUCACUAUGGAGAUGGAACUUAUGGUAUUUCGUUGGAUGAGACUGUCAUUGGCAGUGAUUUAAUUCACUUACUGUAUGUGUUUGGAGCUAAUGAAGAAGAGGCUGCUAGUGUCCUGUACAGUAUAUCUGAUGCUGAGUCUAAUGUUAGUAUCACUGGUAGUGGCCAUGAGAGGAAAACACCUUAUCUAACUCAUCCUGUCUUUAAUAGUUAUCCUUCAGAGACUAAGCUGUUACAUUAUAUAAAGGGGCUUUAGAGCAGCUGUGUCACUCUAUGAUACCACUGGUAAUAAUAAUAAUCAUAAU